UCCGGUUUGUCACCGGCAGUCUCAUUAAAGUGCCCAACUUAAUGAUGGCAAUUAAUGACAAGGGUUGCGCUCGUUGCGGGACUUAACCCAACAUCUCACGACACGAGCUGACGACAGCCAUGCAGCACCUGUGUUAGCAUUCCCGAAGGCACUAAUCUAUCUCUAGAAAAUUCGCUACAUGUCAAGGGUAGGUAAGGUUUUUCGCGUUGCAUCGAAUUAAUCCACAUAAUCCACCGCUUGUGCGGGUCCCCGUCAAUUCCUUUGAGUUUUAAUCUUGCGACCGUACUCCCCAGGCGGUCAACUUCACGCGUUAGCUACGUUACUAAGUCUAGCUAGACCCAACAACUAGUUGACAUCGUUUAGGGCGUGGACUAC
This 375-nucleotide unclassified non-coding RNA is filed under the name uncultured Gammaproteobacteria bacterium. RNAcentral's name for it is "contains 16S-23S intergenic spacer region". The record is from RNAcentral. Lineage: Bacteria; Pseudomonadati; Pseudomonadota; Gammaproteobacteria.